AGUGAACGCUGGCGGUAGGCCUAACACAUGCAAGUCGAACGGCAGCACAGUAAGAGCUUGCUCUUACGGGUGGCGAGUGGCGGACGGGUGAGGAAUACAUCGGAAUCUACCUUUUCGUGGGGGAUAACGUAGGGAAACUUACGCUAAUACCGCAUACGACCUACGGGUGAAAGCAGGGGAUCUUCGGACCUUGCGCGAUUGAAUGAGCCGAUGUCGGUUUAGCUAGUUGGCGGGGUAAAGGCCCACCAAGGCGACGAUCCGUAGCUGGUCUGAGAGGAUGAUCAGCCACACUGGAACUGAGACACGGUCCAGACUCCUACGGGAGGCAGCAGUGGGGAAUAUUGGACAAUGGGCGCAAGCCUGAUCCAGCCAUACCGCGUGGGUGAAGAAGGCCUUCGGGUUGUAAAGCCCUUUUGUUGGGAAAGAAAAGCAGCAGGUUAAUACCCCGCUGUUCUGACGGUACCCAAAGAAUAAGCACCGGCUAACUUCGUG
RNAcentral lists this ribosomal RNA (492 nucleotides) under uncultured bacterium. RNAcentral's name for it is "partial 16S ribosomal RNA". It matches the Rfam family "Bacterial small subunit ribosomal RNA", at positions 29 to 507 of the family's 1533-position model. The record is from RNAcentral.